ACUCGCUCUCAUGUGCUUUGAUAUUUGUAUAAUUUGUUCACGAGGUCAUUAUGAAGAUAAUAAAAGAAUGAAGUAUGUCGGAGUAGGUACAUCGAUAAUCAUGUGUUGUCAUCAAUAUGGGAUUAUACACGAGCAUCAAUUAGUUUAGCGUGUCGUGGUUCACGUUUCACUCUGAUAAUAUUGUGAAGUCUUUGCUCAGUCUGUAAAGCGUCUUGAGAUAACUACAUGCCACUACAGGCUGACUAAUGUCGUGAGGGCUGCUGGGCAGACUGCUCUGUCCGAUCUAUUGACAGAUACAAGCACGUGUACCUCUACUGGCACAUACAAUUGGAUAUGUCAUUUUCUCUGAGUGACCUCUAUUUCCAUGAGUUUCAGGACCUUCUCAUGUUUGACCCGCCCCCUCUCCGCCGGUCUCCAGCUCCUUCUCCUCCUCCUCCUCCGGCUGCUCCGUGCGUCGUCCGGCCACACUCCCAGCUCAGCCGUCUCUGGCUUCGUCCUCCAAACCACCACUCGCUCUUUGCUCUCGGCCUUCGCCUACCGGACGCCUCGUCGCCCCGCACAGGGCACACUGGACCUUCCUGUGCGACAGGAAAGGAGACUGCAGCAGCAGUAUUUAACGUGACGUCACACGCAAAACUAGAAGAAGAAGAUGGACUGAGGGACACAAGUCAUCAUGUAAGUGACAGACGCACGUCAACAACAUCCACCGUCACAUAAUAUUACGUAGUAUAGUGUAAGUGGAGUCGGAUUCCCUGAGCACCUUUUGUGGAUAGGAAAAGGCGACGGGGAGAACUUUUCGAAUCCACCCCAUGGGUGAGGUCGAAUUAUCAAAUUGGCUCAGGAAGUUUCCUAAAUCUUGACGUGACCCGGAAGUAUUGGAUCAGCAGCCAUGAUGAGAGCUGUUCAGAUUCUCUAAAUGCAUAGGAAAGGAGCUUCAAUGCUUCCUUUCCUAUCUCCUUUAGCAUAGGGUCCACUGGAGCUUCCUACGUGAGAGUAAGGAGAUACGGACGCCCCCACAAUUCAUUGCGGCAGCGAUAUUUAACGUGACGCGCCGCGCACGGACGUCAACGAUUCAAUCCGAAGUAGAAGUAGAAGAAGGAGACAUCCGGCGUCACAUUAUGACGUAGUACAGUGAAAGUCGAGUCGGGUUCUCUGAGCACCGCUGUCCUGAGGCCUAUCAGUCCUCCUUUACACCUUUCCUUGAGCUCAUGACGUUUUCCACUGAGGUCAAGGAUUAGCAGAUGGGAAAGACAACUCGACCUCACCUCAUGUGAUCCACUGCAGAUGGUUCCUUUACAAAAAAAACUGGCAAACAUCUCUGCCACCCUGGGUCACCCAACACACACCGGAACAGCAGGCGCUUACCAGUAACUCCUCUUUUUUUUAUUUUAAACACAAUCAAGUGCUGCAGGUGAGAAAUAAAAUGGUAGUUGAGAGGGAUUGUCAGGCCGCUUGUUUUGAAGCGAGUGUAGGAGCGCGCAUGCCUCACUGAGAUUAAAAACAUCGAGUGAAUAUAGAUUGUUCAUUUUUCUUUGGGAUAUUUGAUUCUGAAAAGCUGUGAGGAACGAAACAAUGCUUUCUUACUCAGGAGGUCAGACUCAUGCAGUCUGGGAGCAUUUCACUGGGAUUGUGGUAGGCAUUGAUUGUGGUAUUGAUCGCUAUGGAUUGGAGACAAUUCACAAGAAGCCUCCCUUUCAUUUGCCACGGAAAAUAGCAGAAGCCCGUGCAAAUAAUCGCAAAUAUAGCAUCGCGCAGAAAGACUUUUUUCUCAACCAGUAAGCUGAAAAAAAUAUUACACAUUGUGAACGACUAGUGUUGAACAUUGCACUGUUGCUGGUCUGCUCUCUCUGCGGCCAUUUCACCACAACGACCCUCCGCCUCAGCCAAUCAUACAACUCCAGG
Molecule: long non-coding RNA, 1902 nt
Filed under: Scophthalmus maximus (turbot)
Lineage: Eukaryota; Metazoa; Chordata; Actinopteri; Pleuronectiformes; Scophthalmidae
Description: lncRNA (ENSSMAG00000024528.1)
Source: RNAcentral